GACGAACGCUGGCGGCGUGCUUAACACAUGCAAGUCGAACGGAGUGGCGAGCGGGUGAGUAACACGUGGGUGACCUGCCCUGCACUUCGGGCUAAGCCUGGGAAACUGGGUCUAAUACCGGUUAGUGUGGGAUGGGCCCGCGGCCUAUCAGCUUGUGGGUGGGGUAAUGGCCUACCAAGGCGGGGACGGGUAGCCGGCCUGGGAGGGUGGAAGGCCACAUUGGGACUGGGGCACGGGCAGGAGUCCUACGGGAGGAAGGAGUGGGGAAUAUAGCACAAUGGGCGGAGGCCGUAUGCAGCGACGUCGGGUGGGGGAUGACGGCCUUCGGGUUGGAAACUCCUUUCACGAACGACGCGGUAGAAGGAGAAGAAGCACCGGCUAACUACGUGCCAGCAGCCGCGUAAUUC
This 407-nucleotide ribosomal RNA is filed under the name uncultured bacterium. Its description in RNAcentral is "partial 16S ribosomal RNA". It matches the Rfam family "Bacterial small subunit ribosomal RNA", at positions 28 to 526 of the family's 1533-position model. The record is from RNAcentral.